GACGAACGCUGGCGGCGUGCUUAACACAUGCAAGUCGAACGGAAAGGCCCUGCUUUUGUGGGGUGCUCGAGUGGCGAACGGGUGAGUAACACGUGAGUAACCUGCCCUUGACUUUGGGAUAACUUCAGGAAACUGGGGCUAAUAUCGGAUAUGAGCUCCUGCUGCAUGGUGGGGGUGGGAAAGUUUCGGCGGUUGGGGAUGGACUCGCGGCUUAUCAGCUUGUUGGUGGGGUAGUGGCUUACCAAGGCUUUGACGGGUAGCCGGCCUGAGAGGGUGACCGGCCACAUUGGGACUGAGAUACGGCCCAGACUCCUACGGGAGGCAGCAGUGGGGAAUAUUGCACAAUGGGCGGAAGCCUGAUGCAGCAACGCCGCGUGCGGGAUGACGGCCUUCGGGUUGUAACCCGCUUUCGCCUGUGACGAAGCGUGAGUGACGGUAAUGGGUAAAGAAGCACCGGCUAACUACGUG
This 468-nucleotide ribosomal RNA is filed under the name uncultured bacterium. RNAcentral's name for it is "partial 16S ribosomal RNA". It matches the Rfam family "Bacterial small subunit ribosomal RNA", at positions 28 to 507 of the family's 1533-position model. The record is from RNAcentral.